This 356-nucleotide small RNA is filed under the name Pongo abelii (Sumatran orangutan). RNAcentral's name for it is "processed transcript". Lineage: Eukaryota; Metazoa; Chordata; Mammalia; Primates; Hominidae. The record is from RNAcentral.
GGAAUGAAUGGCAGCCCUCCCUGGAGAGGCAGCCUGUUUACUGAAUACAGAGGAUACGUUUACAAACUGAAUACGCAUAAUAAAUAACUGCACAUUCUCCAUCCACAGUCCACGGCAUGAAGGCCCAAGUGGGUCUAUCAAAGGCCCACAUCUCCAAAACCCUGUCCUGCCCUCAGGACCAGGCCCAUGGUGAGGACAGGGGCUGCUGAAGGCACAGAGAAAGGGCUGGAGUCAGACAUUCUUCACCCACUGCGGGCCACAUAGGCCUAUCUCCAGAGAGGGCAUCGGGCCCAGAUGGCACCGCAGUGUGUGGCCAGGCUGGGCCGUGCCGCAUGUGUGCACAGCCAGGCGGCUCA